Molecule: non-coding RNA, 65 nt
Organism: Dipodomys ordii (Ord's kangaroo rat)
Lineage: Eukaryota; Metazoa; Chordata; Mammalia; Rodentia; Heteromyidae
Source: Rfam
GGUGGCUCAGUGGUAGAGUGCUUGCCUUGCAAGCAUGAGGCCCUGGGUUCAAUUCCUCAGCACCA